Molecule: microRNA precursor, 196 nt
Filed under: Oryza sativa Japonica Group (Japanese rice)
Lineage: Eukaryota; Viridiplantae; Streptophyta; Magnoliopsida; Poales; Poaceae
Description: MIR812 microRNA precursor family
Rfam family: MIR812 microRNA precursor family (bases 25-196)
Source: Rfam by way of RNAcentral
CCUUCGUCCCAUUUUAAAUGUAAUUGUAGAUUUUUUUUAUUCGUCUUAUUUGAUUUUUUUUAUUAUUAAUAUUUUUGUUGCUAUUAGAUAAUAAAAUAUGAAUAAUACUUUAUACGUGACUUAUUUUUUAAAAAUAUUUUUAUAAAUUUUUUAAAUAAGACGGACAGUCAAACGUUGGACACGAAAACUCACAACU